This 684-nucleotide long non-coding RNA is filed under the name Homo sapiens (human). RNAcentral's name for it is "HSALNT0117851". The record is from RNAcentral. Lineage: Eukaryota; Metazoa; Chordata; Mammalia; Primates; Hominidae.
GUUUAUCUACAAGCUCCUGGAGGAGCAGAGGCCACUCAGCCCCUGAUACAAUCUUGGGUGCCGUGUGCGUGGGGACAGUUUACAGCCCCGCAUGACAGAAAUCAGAUAUUUAGGGAGAUGGAGUGAUGGCCUGGCGUUAGUGGGGUCCGACGUGUUCCAGGCUCCGUGCCCUAUCCCCAGGGCUCUAAUGGCUGUGUGUGGGUGGGGGUGUACUCCACCUAUGAGGCGCUGGGAGUCAAAUGCAUUUAUCAGCUUCCUGGAGAUUUAAAACCCAAUAGCCUCUCUCCUGCCAUUGCAGAGAAUGGCAACAGUGUACGCAGGCGAAACACGUGGUUCCCAGGGUCCACGCUGCUUUUUCUUCCCCCAGGCCUGCAAAUUAUUCUCCCCGUGGUCUUUCUGCUUGAGUCACUGACUCUAUGCUCGUUUACCAACCAGGUACCCUGUGCCAGGUGCCGUGUCCACGCUGGGUCACCUCGGGGGCCAAGACAGCUGAUGGCCGCAUCCGGGGGUGUGGACAGAUGGGAAGAGGAGCGCACCAGUCAAUGCGUGAGCCCAUUUCCGGCAAUCAGCGCCACGACGGUACCAACGUGGAGGGGCGCAAUCGUGCCUGGGCGGGUGGUUCGAGGAGGAGCAUCUGAGGAGGUCUGCCCACCAAUGAAACAACUGAUGCCAGCUGACCCGAAG